This 413-nucleotide ribosomal RNA is filed under the name uncultured prokaryote. Its description in RNAcentral is "bacterial SSU rRNA". It matches the Rfam family "Bacterial small subunit ribosomal RNA", at positions 505 to 918 of the family's 1533-position model. The record is from RNAcentral.
GUGUCAGCCGCCGCGGUAAUACGGAGGGGGCUAGCGUUGUUCGGAAUUACUGGGCGUAAAGGGCGCGUAGGCGGGCGCUUAAGUCGGGGGUGAAAUCCCGGGGCUCAACCCCGGAACGGCCUCCGAUACUGGGUGCCUUGAGGACGGGAGAGGUGAGUGGAAUUCCGAGUGUAGAGGUGAAAUUCGUAGAUAUUCGGAGGAACACCGGUGGCGAAGGCGGCUCACUGGCCCGAUCCUGACGCUGAGGCGCGAAAGCGUGGGGAGCAAACAGGAUUAGAUACCCUGGUAGUCCACGCCCUAAACGAUGAGUGCCAGUUGUUGGCGGGCAUGCCCGUCAGUGACGCAGCUAACGCUUUGAGCACUCCGCCUGGGGAGUACGGCCGCAAGGUUAAAACUUAAAUGAAUUGGCGGGG